Molecule: ribosomal RNA, 505 nt
Filed under: uncultured bacterium
Lineage: Bacteria
Description: bacterial SSU rRNA
Rfam family: Bacterial small subunit ribosomal RNA
Source: RNAcentral
UUCCUGAGCCAUGAUCAAACUCUAGAGUUUGAUCAUGGCUCAGGACGAACGCUGGCGGCGUGCUUAACACAUGCAAGUCGAACGGUGACCAGGGCUUGCCCUGGUGAUCAGUGGCGAACGGGUGAGUAACACGUGGGCAACCUGCCCCUGACUUCGGGAUAACUCCUCGAAAGAGGAGCUAAUACCGGAUACGACCACUUCGGACAUCCGAUGGUGGUGGAAAGUUUUUUGGUCAGGGAUGGGCCCGCGGCCUAUCAGCUAGUUGGUGGGGUAAUGGCCUACCAAGGCGACGACGGGUAGCCGGCCUGAGAGGGCGACCGGCCACACUGGGACUGAGACACGGCCCAGACUCCUACGGGAGGCAGCAGUGGGGAAUAUUGCGCAAUGGGCGAAAGCCUGACGCAGCGACGCCGCGUGAGGGAUGAAGGCCUUCGGGUUGGUAAACCUCUUUCAGCAGGACGAAGCGAAAGUGACGGUACCUGCAGAGAAGCACCGGCUAACUACG